GAAGAUUGAGUGGUACAUGUAUCACUAAUCUGAAAUAAAAAACAUCUCUAAUUACUUCUGUUUAGCCAUUCAUUGACCACCCACUAUGUGGUAUCUAUCAGAUCGACUGCUAGAGUGACAAUAUAACUGAAGAAAGAUGUUGGUUAAUGUGAGACAAGUUUCCCCUAGUGGUUGUGACUAGAGGUCACUGAAGUUGUAUUGUUUCCCAUUCCUCAUUUGGAGGGCCUCCACCAAAUCACGAAGUUCCUGUGAUUUCUCCAAAUUUAUGCUCUGAAACAAAGCCUUCAUAAACAUUGGUGCUAUGUGGCGUAUCUAUAGCCUGUGCAUCUGCCUUUUUAUAUCUUAAGUUGUGUCCCUUAAUUGCCUUUAAUUGAUUCUCACUGCUUGAGUGAUCUUCUGCACAGGACUAUGCUGUGUAUAUGAAUUAUGAUAGAUUCUUCACUUCACCUUCCACUAUAUAAAUGGUAUUAAUAGAAGGAUGAA
RNAcentral lists this unclassified non-coding RNA (483 nucleotides) under Hevea brasiliensis (rubber tree). Lineage: Eukaryota; Viridiplantae; Streptophyta; Magnoliopsida; Malpighiales; Euphorbiaceae. The record is from RNAcentral.